This 562-nucleotide ribosomal RNA is filed under the name Pristimantis palmeri. RNAcentral describes it as "partial 16S ribosomal RNA". It matches the Rfam family "Bacterial large subunit ribosomal RNA", at positions 1829 to 2597 of the family's 2925-position model. The record is from RNAcentral. Lineage: Eukaryota; Metazoa; Chordata; Amphibia; Anura; Strabomantidae.
CGCCUCUUGGCCAUAUAAGAGGUCCAGCCUGCCCAGUGACUCUGUUCAACGGCCGCGGUAUUCUAACCGUGCGAAGGUAGCGUAAUCACUUGUUUUCUAAAUAAAGACCAGUAUGAAAGGCACCACGAGGAUCAAGCUGUCUCCUUUUUCCAAUCAGUGAACCUAAUCUCCCCGUGAAGAAGCGGGGAUUAAAAUAUAAGACGAGAAGACCCUGUGGAGCUUAAAACAUUAUAACACCUGCCCCACCCCCACUUAAAUUACCCAGGUACUUCACCCACCUGCACCCCUGAUUAUAUGUUUUUGGUUGGGGUGACCGUGGAGAAAAACUCAUCCUCCAUAACGAAAGGGAUUUCCCCUAAGCAAUAAGUUACAACUUUAUGCAUCAAAAACCUGACAAAUCGACCCAAUAAUUGAUCAAUGAACCAAGUUACCCCAGGGAUAACAGCACAAUCCACUUCAAGAGCUCCUAUCGACAAGUGGGCUUAUGACCUCGAUGUUGGAUCGGGGUAUCCUAGUGGUGCAGCCGCUACUAAAGGUUCGUUUGUUCAACGAUUAAAACCCC